Long non-coding RNA from Rosa chinensis, 404 nucleotides. RefSeq lists it as uncharacterized. The transcript is spliced from 3 exons. Lineage: Eukaryota; Viridiplantae; Streptophyta; Magnoliopsida; Rosales; Rosaceae. The record is from RefSeq and is a predicted model, not a curated record.
GCAAGAUGAUCUUAUAUUGAGCCAUGAAUCUCAAUUGGGAGACAUGAAAUUAAAGUACGAUGAUGUAUCGAAUCGUCUCAAUCUUUUGAUGGCUCAUGUUGGUAUCCAAGUAAACCCAAGUGGAAGUACAAGUGAACAGAUUCAUGAUUCCUCAAGUCCACAACAGCUUAGGCGUAAUAUAGAUACUGAUGGACAUCGUCAAUUGGAUUUGGAAGGGCAACGACAAUUAUCUUCGUCUUCAAACACAACUUCAUGAUAAACUAUAAGGUUGGAGAAAUAUCUAGGUGUUGAUGCUGGAAGUACAAGAUAAUAAAUUUUACAAUUAGCAUGCUACUCUAAACUAGAUCGUUUUGUUUAGUAUUUUGACUACUACUGUAUGCGCAGCGACAUUUUAGUUUGUAUGA